GGGCCCGUAGCUCAGCAUGGAAGAGCGGCGGCCUUCGGAGCCGUAGUCCCUAGUGGGGCGGAGGUCGCGGGUUCGGGCACAGCCGCCUAGAAAUCCCGCCGGGCCCGCCA
Molecule: transfer RNA, 110 nt
Filed under: Thermoproteus uzoniensis 768-20
Lineage: Archaea; Thermoproteati; Thermoproteota; Thermoprotei; Thermoproteales; Thermoproteaceae
Description: tRNA-Arg
Rfam family: tRNA
About the family: Transfer RNA (tRNA) molecules are approximately 80 nucleotides in length. Their secondary structure includes four short double-helical elements and three loops (D, anti-codon, and T loops). Further hydrogen bonds mediate the characteristic L-shaped molecular structure. tRNAs have two regions of fundamental functional importance: the anti-codon, which is responsible for specific mRNA codon recognition, and the 3' end, to which the tRNAs corresponding amino acid is attached (by aminoacyl-tRNA synthetases). tRNAs cope with the degeneracy of the genetic code in two manners: having more than one tRNA (with a specific anti-codon) for a particular amino acid; and 'wobble' base-pairing, i.e. permitting non-standard base-pairing at the 3rd anti-codon position.
Source: RNAcentral